CCUACGGGAGGCAGCAGUGGGGAAUAUUGCACAAUGGGCGAAAGCCUGAUGCAGCAACGCCGCGUGAAGGAAGACGGUUUUCGGAUUGUAAACUUCUAUCAAUAGGGAAGAAAGAAAUGACGGUACCUACAUAAGAAGCCCCGGCUAACUACGUGCCAGCAGCCGCGGUAAUACGUAGGGGGCAAGCGUUAUCCGGAAUUACUGGGUGUAAAGGGAGAGUAGGCGGCAAGGUAAGCGAUAUGUGAAAGCCUUAAGCUUAACUAAAGGAUUGCAUAACGAACUAUCUAGCUAGUGUACAGGAGAGGAAAGCGGAAUGUCUAGUGUAGCGGUGAAAUGCGUAGAGAUUAGGAAGAACACCAGUGGCGAAGGCAGCUUUCUGGACUGAAACUGACGCUGAGGCUCGAAAGCGUGGGGAGCGAACAGGAUUAGAUACCCGAGUAGUC
RNAcentral lists this ribosomal RNA (443 nucleotides) under uncultured bacterium. RNAcentral describes it as "partial 16S ribosomal RNA". It matches the Rfam family "Bacterial small subunit ribosomal RNA", at positions 338 to 795 of the family's 1533-position model. The record is from RNAcentral.